CUCUGUUCAGAAGAAGAUACCAAAUCCCUCGCAUGGUUUAGCACAGCCCGAGCGCCAGCUCCCCGGAGCGACGCGUCCCCCUCCUCUGCAAAGCCAGGCGCGGCGGCGGCCACGGUCAAGAGCGACUGCACGCCCCUCAGAUUCCACCAGGUGCGGCGACGGCCCCUCCUCUCCUCCUCUUCCUUGCCGCCCGGAGUUAAACGCGAAGCCGCUGCGGGUCGGCAGCACAUAGCCGCCCCUCCCUCGGUUCUCCUCGCGGCCAGCUCUUCCCGCCAAUGCUUCGCCGCCGCCCCUUUCCCCGAUACGGCUUCUCCUUUCCGCUUCCUCUCCACACGACGGCGUCGUCCGACACCUCCUCUCCCCGCUGUGGGGUCGCCUCUUUCCCUCCCUGCGCUGCACAAGCGAGGAGGCGUCGUUGCCCUGAAGUGCUACAGCCGGCUCGGCACAUGAUCCCAUGAUUGAGCGCAUCAUCACUCAGGUUUCAGGAGAAGGUUGUGAUGACUGCUGACAACAACAGAACUUAUGAAGGUCAACUCAAGAGUGCUACGGGGAUACGGGGCAGGCUGGGACGCACAAAAAUUGGGAAGAUGUGUUUUUAGGAUGGUGUCUUAUAUGCUGGCGAAAUUAAUUUUCGCUGGAAAGUAAUGGUCAUCGAUUGAUGCCGAAAGAAACUAUCGUCAAUUGUGGCGAUAAUUGAAAGUUAACUGGAUUUUUUUA
Long non-coding RNA from Lolium perenne, 717 nucleotides. RefSeq lists it as uncharacterized. NCBI's taxonomy places the organism in Eukaryota, Viridiplantae, Streptophyta, Magnoliopsida, Poales, Poaceae. The record is from RefSeq and is a predicted model, not a curated record.